Molecule: ribosomal RNA, 253 nt
Filed under: uncultured bacterium
Lineage: Bacteria
Description: partial 16S ribosomal RNA
Rfam family: Bacterial small subunit ribosomal RNA
Source: RNAcentral
UACGUAGGGUGCAAGCGUUGUCCGGAAUUAUUGGGCGUAAAGAGCUCGUAGGCGGUUUGUCGCGUCGAAUGUGAAAACCCGGGGCUCAACCCCGGGCCUGCAUUCGAUACGGGCGGACUAGAGUUCGGUAGGGGAGUCUGGAAUUCCUGGUGUAGCGGUGAAAUGCGCAGAUAUCAGGAGGAACACCGGUGGCGAAGGCGGGACUCUGGGCCGAUACUGACGCUGAGGAGCGAAAGCGUGGGGAGCAAACAGG